AUGAUGCACACAGCUGGCUCACCACAGUGCCAUUGGACAGCCGCAGUCACAAGACAAGUGUGUCAGCUCUCCUCACACUCAAUCUCAGCACAGGGGAGGGGUAUAAGUUAUGACAUAAUUAACCUGAAACAACACUCCCUUUCUUUAGGUGAGUCAUCUGCAGUUAUCCAGAAAAUGUGCAGUAUGAAAAUUACCUCCGGUUCAGGGUAUUGAGAAUACAAAGUAGCCACUUAGAGUUACUUCGGAAAAAUAAAUAUGGAACACUUCUAAUUUAUAAAUAAAGA
Molecule: long non-coding RNA, 284 nt
Filed under: Anas platyrhynchos platyrhynchos (common mallard)
Lineage: Eukaryota; Metazoa; Chordata; Aves; Anseriformes; Anatidae
Description: lncRNA (ENSAPLG00000023533.1)
Source: RNAcentral